This 855-nucleotide long non-coding RNA is filed under the name Homo sapiens (human). RNAcentral's name for it is "non-protein coding lnc-ATP6V1E2-8:3". Lineage: Eukaryota; Metazoa; Chordata; Mammalia; Primates; Hominidae. The record is from RNAcentral.
AUGAGGUUUUUAAACUCACGUUUUAUUAAUGGGUAGGCAGGUAACAUGAUGAUUAGGAGUUCUGGCAUCAGAUUACUGGGUUGAAAUCCUGGCUUUGUCACUUGCUAGUGAGGAUGAAAUAAUAAAAUCCCUCUAAAAUACCUAGCUCAGCACCUGACACAUGGUUAUUACUUAAUUAAUGUUACAGGCAUUUGUGACCUAGAAAAGACAUAGUUUAAUGACUAUAUUUUUAGCCUUCAAAAAAUGCAAAUUCCAUGAUUUAUUUGAGUUCUCAUAUAUUAGAGAAUAUGUUAAUUGUCUCAGUUUGUUGUUUUAUUUUUUCUGCCCAGCAGUCUUUCAGUUGGUAGAGUGGACUGUUAAUUUAUCUAUUUCUCUGGUAUUUAGUUAUGCCAAUUUAGGGUAUUUGGAUUUCACAUAAUUUUCAAUCCUGUCUGACAUUUCAGAUGACAGUAGAAAGAAAACGUAGCACUUAUAGAUCUCUCCAUGUACCCUGCAGGGGGCUUGGUACUGUGAAAUGAGUAACUUAAUCCUGACAACCGUAGUGCAAGGUAUGGCCCAUCUCCUGUACGCUUGGAGCGACCUUUGGCUACGUGGCUGGCCUUGUUAUUUCACCACUCUGGAUAUACUGGAAUAGAAAGCAACUUACAUACAAGAACAAUUAACUGGAGCAAAGGGAGAUAUUUCUUUGUGCAGAUUCUGUAAGGGCUGGGCAGAAAUGUGUAUGGUCAAAGCCAAGCAGUUCCAUUUACAGCUCUGUUUUUUACGUAGUUACAACAUGAUGUGAUUGUAGCUUUUUAAACUAUGAAACCCCUGAGAGAUUGUACCUUCUAGUUGAAAUAAAGUAUUUAUAAUAGA